AUUGAACGCUGGCGGCAGGCUUAACACAUGCAAGUCGAGCGGGGUGAUGGUGCUUGCACUAUCACUUAGCGGCGGACGGGUGAGUAAUGCUUAGGAAUCUGCCUAUUAGUGGGGGACAACAUCUCGAAAGGGAUGCUAAUACCGCAUACGUCCUACGGGAGAAAGCAGGGGAUCACUUGUGACCUUGCGCUAAUAGAUGAGCCUAAGUCGGAUUAGCUAGUUGGUGGGGUAAAGGCCUACCAAGGCGACGAUCUGUAGCGGGUCUGAGAGGAUAAGCCGCCACAAUGGGACUGAGACACGGCCCAGACUCCUACGGGAGGCAGCAGUGGGGAAUAUUGGACAAUGGGGGGAACCCUGAUCCAGCCAUGCCGCGUGUGUGAAGAAGGCCUUAUGGUUGUAAAGCACUUUAAGCGAGGAGGAGGCUCUUUUGGUUAAUACCCAAGAUGAGUGGACGUUACUCGCAGAAUAAGCACCGGCUAACUCUGUGCCAGCCGCCGCAGUAA
This 503-nucleotide ribosomal RNA is filed under the name uncultured bacterium. Its description in RNAcentral is "partial 16S ribosomal RNA". It matches the Rfam family "Bacterial small subunit ribosomal RNA", at positions 30 to 523 of the family's 1533-position model. The record is from RNAcentral.